Neopsephotus bourkii (Bourke's parrot) is the source of this 1996-nucleotide RNA transcript. It is a transcript of the gene named enkurin domain containing 1, with no coding region annotated. The record is from RefSeq and is a predicted model, not a curated record. The transcript is spliced from 7 exons. NCBI's taxonomy places the organism in Eukaryota, Metazoa, Chordata, Aves, Psittaciformes, Psittacidae.
UCCUGAAGAGGGUUCUUCCUGUCGAUGUCCCUCAGAAAUCUUUAAGUUACUGCCUGAGGAGUCAGGGCAUGCAGGUUUAGCCCCAGCUCUUACAGCAGUGACUCCAGCCAAGCUGCCCUGGUGUGUGUCAAAAUCAUGGCAUGACUCUGAGGAGGGAUUGAGGCUUUUACGGCACCUGCCAAAAGCUCACCAGUGGUCUGUGUCUGUUCCUGUGUCAUCUUGCAUCCUCGUUUUCUGAGCAGGCAGGAAGUCCCUCAAGCUUCACACAGGCAAUAGAAUGCUGUCCAUGAGAUCUUCAUGAGUGAUGCUAGCCACUGCUGUGCUGGGAGGAUCUGUGCUUCUGUGGUUGUGGGGAGGAGAGAGACAGCAGGGACCAGGGCAGGGAUCUGUGGAUCUGUGCUUGUCCAGCAGUUAAUGUUGAAAAGUUCUUUAGUAAUGAAAAAGAUGUUUUCUAAACAGGUAACUCUGGUCUCCCUAGACCAGCUGGACUCCUUUAAUCUUGGGGCUCUUGCCCAGAAAUUCAACAUCUGCCCCUACAUGGUCCUGCAGUCAAAUGUUUUUUCUCAGGUCCUUUUGAGAUUCAGCCCCAGCCUGCUCAAGGGUGGUGACAGCGCUGGUGUGUGUCUUGUGGAGGAUAGAGCAGAGAGUUUACCUGUGUGGGGUACGAGCUUCAGCUCACUUUGUGUAUGUUGUGUUUGAACCACAGGAGCUAUUUAGAAAGAGCCUAAGGAACAAGAUAGUUCAAAUCUAAGGCUAAAAUGUCUCAGACGGUAUCCAGCUACCCUGUGUUUCACUAAAGGCACAAAGGGCAGUUAUAGCAGCUCAGGUCUUGCUUGCAUGUCUGCAAUGAAUGUUCCUCUAUGGAAGAGCAGAGCCAGGAAGGAUUUUCUGUACUGCAGAUACCAAUACCACAGGAACUGUAGACAUUUCAGGUUUGAUGCUGGUAAAAAUGCUGAUUAGCCCCACAACAGGGACAGUACUGCUGGAUCCCUUGCUUCACCUCCAUAGAGUCCAAUUUGGGGUGAUUUGUGGUUUCCUACCUGCAGUUUAUCUCUGUAGUGGUGGCUGGUUCCUGUGGAGGAGGCAGAGCCACAGCAGGAUGUGUGAAGGGCCAUCCAGGAUUUGUGGACCCAUUCCUCCAGACCCUACACUCUUUCCAGACUAUUACAAACGCCCCUUCUCAGCUCGAGGGAGGCUGGAAGGGAAUGCUCUGAAGCUGGGUUUUAGCUCUGACCCUCUGGAUCCAGUUCCUAACCCAUACAGUGCCCGCCAAGUCCAACCAGCCCCUCGCAUUCGCCCCAGUGGAAAGGAUUUCCUGGAGAAGGGACGGAAGGGGACGCUUAGUCUCUUAUUGCAGCUUGAAGGGCUCUCCCUUGAUGGGAGGCUGCCAGUUGAGAGGAAAGAGUCCAAGGAUCAUGAGAAAGAAAAUGUAAGGAGGAUAAAAGAGAUUCAGAAGAAGUACAAAGAGAAGGAGCAAGCACAGGAGCACAGCAAGCCCAAGCCUGUGAAAGCUCUCUGGAAAUCCCAGAAAUAUGAAAACGUGGAGUCAAAGGUGAAGGCCAAACUCCAGGAGAGCUCCCCACCUCCAAAUCCAGAGGCUCUGAAAUUCCUGAGGGCAUAUUCUCGCUGUGGUCCUGGGAUCAAGCCACGCAGAUCGCUGUCCCCAGGGCCUGCCAGAAUGAAAACAGGAGCAGACACAGAGGAUCCAGAGGCACUGGGUGCUGAAAUCAAGCCUGCUGGAGAGGAAGGAGCUGUGGCGCAGAGAGAUGGAGGAGCGGCUGCGAAACCUGCCUGAUCCCAGCAUACCACCUGGUCACACCAAGAUGCAAGAGGACCAGCGGCUGGAGACCCUCAGCAGCCUGAAGCAGAGCCAGGAGCAGCUGGUAAAGGAACUGGUGAUGCUGCCAGUGCGGGCAGACACUCUGAGCGUGCAGAAGAGGCGGAUGGAGCUGGAGAGGAAGCUCUCCCAAACAGAAGAGGCCAUCAAAAUUUUCUC